RNAcentral lists this ribosomal RNA (253 nucleotides) under uncultured bacterium. Its description in RNAcentral is "partial 16S ribosomal RNA". It matches the Rfam family "Bacterial small subunit ribosomal RNA", at positions 524 to 776 of the family's 1533-position model. The record is from RNAcentral.
UACAGAGGUCUCAAGCGUUGUUCGGAUUCAUUGGGCGUAAAGGGUGCGUAGGUGGCGGGGUAAGUCAGGUGUGAAAUUUCGGAGCUUAACUCCGAAACUGCAUUUGAUACUGCCUUGCUUGAGGACUGGAGAGGAGACUGGAAUUCACGGUGUAGCAGUGAAAUGCGUAGAGAUCGUGAGGAAGACUAGUGGCGAAGGCGGCCAGCUGGGCUGUUGCUGACGCUGAUGCGCGACAGCGUGGGGAGCAAACAGG